GACGAACGCUGGCGGCGUGCUUAACACAUCCAAGCCGAACGGAAAGGCCCUGCUUUUGUGGGGUGCUCGAGUGGCGAACGGGUGAGUAAAACGUGAGUAACCUGCCCUUGACUUUGGGAUAACUUCAGGAAACUGGGGCUAAUACCGGAUAGGAGCUCCUGCUGCAUGGUGGGGGUUGGAAAGUUUCGGCGGUUGGGGAUGGACUCGCGGCUUAUCAGCUUGUUGGUGGGGUAGUGGCUUACCAAGGCUUUGACGGGUAGCCGGCCUGAGAGGGUGACCGGCCACAUUGGGACUGAGAUACGGCCCAGACUCCUACGGGAGGCAGCAGUGGGGAAUAUUGCACAAUGGGCGGAAGCCUGAUGCAGCAACGCCGCGUGCGGGAUGACGGCCUUCGGGUUGUAAACCGCUUUCGCCUGUGACGAAGCGUGAGUGACGGUAAUGGGUAAAGAAGCACCGGCUAACUACGUG
RNAcentral lists this ribosomal RNA (468 nucleotides) under uncultured bacterium. RNAcentral describes it as "partial 16S ribosomal RNA". It matches the Rfam family "Bacterial small subunit ribosomal RNA", at positions 28 to 507 of the family's 1533-position model. The record is from RNAcentral.